GUAAUAAAAUAUUAAAAUUUAUUUUAGACCAUUUUUCUGAGAUUGGUAAUCCAAAACCAUUAAAAUUUGUCAAUUUAAUAUUUGACAUGGGAUAGGUGAGAGAAUCAGCAUGGUCUGGCUGAAGACGGUGAACUUAGCACUUCUUAGGAGGCAACCCAGUUUUUAAAUUUUCAAAUUUUGCUUUUGCCUUUGCUUUCUUUUGCAUUUUGUUUAGGAUAAUCAAGUCUUACUUAGUGUUUUUUGUAGAGAUCGAAAAAUAAUCUUGGCUAAGUUGGGGGG
Molecule: long non-coding RNA, 279 nt
Filed under: Elaeis guineensis (African oil palm)
Lineage: Eukaryota; Viridiplantae; Streptophyta; Magnoliopsida; Arecales; Arecaceae
Description: long non-coding RNA (EGUI_LNC054020)
Source: RNAcentral